ACCGAAGCCACGGACCCCGUUAUGCGGGGUGGUAGGAGAGCAUAAUCAGUGCUGCGAAGCUGGACUGUAAAGGAAAGUGGAGCGCUGAUUAGUGAGAAUGCAGACAUGAGUAGCGAUAAGCCAGAUGAGAAUUCUGGCCGCCGUAAACCCAAGGUUUCCUGGGGCAGGUUCGUCCGCCCAGGGUUAGUCGGGAGCUAAGACGAGGCCGUAGGGCGUAGUCGAUGCACAGCAGUUUAAUAUUCCUGCACCGGCAAGGGUUAAGAUAACAAGGGACGUGAAUAAGAAAGUGACUAAGUCAUCGAAAGACAGAGCCUAGCCUUCGGGCGAAGCGCAUCACCGGACUAUUGACCGAGAAAAGCUUGUUAUUGUUCCCCUGGCCGCCCGUACCGUAAACCGACACAGGUGGGUGGGUGUAAAUGCACCAAGGCGCGCGAGAUAAACCUCUCUAAGGAACUCGGCAAAAUAGCCCCGUAACUUCGGGAGAAGGGGUACCCCACGCAAGUGGGGUCACAGUAAAUUGGGUUUGGCGACUGUUUACCAAAAACACAGCACUCUGCUAAGUCGUGAAGACGACGUAUAGGGUGUGACACGUGACCAAUGCGACAAGAUUAAGGUGACUUGUUAGCCCUUGAGGCGAAGCUCGGAGCCGAAGUCCUCGUGAAUGUCGGCCGUAACUAUAACGGUCCUAAGGUAGCGAAAUUCCUUGUCGGGUAAGUUCCGACCUGCACGAAUCGUGUAACGACCGAACCGCUGUCUCGGAGAGGUUCUCGGCGAAAUUGUAGUGGCGGUGAAGAUGCCGCCUACCCGCGGUAGGACGGAAAGACCCUAUGCACCUUUACUAUAAGCUGGUAUUGGGUUCUGAUUCUUAAUGCGUAGCAUAGGUGGGAGACUUUGAAACGAUGGCUUCGGUUGUCGUGGAGUCGCCAGUGAAAUACCACUCUUUAUUAAUUAGGAUUCUAACCCCGAUCCUGUGAAGCCAGGCGGGGAACAGUGCCUGCGGGUUAGUUUGACUGGGGCGGUUUCCUCCCAAAGAGUAACGGAGGAGCGCGAAGGUACUCUCAGCACGGUUGGCAAUCGUGCGUCGAGCGCAUGGGUAGAAGAGUGCUUAACUGUGAGACACACACGUCGAGCAGAUGCGAAAGCAGGCCCAAGUGAUCCGAUAGUAGAAUGUGGAAUUGCUAUCGCUCAACGGACAAAAGGUACGCUAGGGAUAACAGGCUGAUCGCGCCCAAGAGUUCAUAUCGACGGCGCGG
Molecule: ribosomal RNA, 1253 nt
Filed under: marine metagenome
Description: bacterial LSU rRNA
Rfam family: Bacterial large subunit ribosomal RNA
Source: RNAcentral